RNAcentral lists this ribosomal RNA (253 nucleotides) under uncultured bacterium. RNAcentral's name for it is "partial 16S ribosomal RNA". It matches the Rfam family "Bacterial small subunit ribosomal RNA", at positions 524 to 776 of the family's 1533-position model. The record is from RNAcentral.
UACAGAGGUGGCAAGCGUUGUUCGGAAUUACUGGGCGUAAAGGGCGCGUAGGCGGCCUUCUAAGUCAGACGUGAAAUCCCCCGGCUUAACCUGGGAACUGCGUCUGAUACUGGGAGGCUAGAGUGCGGGAGAGGGAUGCGGAAUUCCAGGUGUAGCGGUGAAAUGCGUAGAUAUCGGGAGGAACACCAAUGGCGAAGGCAGCUCGCUGGGACGGUACUGACGCUGAGACGCGAAAGCGUGGGGAGCAAACAGG